GGGGUUGUACUGGUUUCGACGGGGGCGUGGAAGUUGAGGAAGCCAUCCGCAGUUUCCGGGACUGCGUUAAAACCUGGAACUUAAAUAUAAAAGCUGAAGAUAAUAAUUACGCUUUAGCAGCUGCUUAAUGCUGCUUGUCAGCCCGGGAUCGCUCACAGUCCCGGUAGCUGGCAUCAACAAUGUGGGGACCUUUGCCGUUUAAGCUUUGCAACGGCAAAAGAUUUAUGAAGCUACUGAGAGGAUAAGCCUGUCGCCGGGCGUAUCCUGGAGGGAAUGAAUAUACAGCGACUGUGAUGGGAGAUGCUUCGAUGGAUGUGCCUUCGGACCGGGGUUCGACUCCCCGCAGCUCCAUUC
Molecule: transfer-messenger RNA, 354 nt
Filed under: Catenibacillus scindens
Lineage: Bacteria; Bacillati; Bacillota; Clostridia; Lachnospirales; Lachnospiraceae
Description: intestinal bacterium CG19-1 transfer-messenger RNA
Rfam family: transfer-messenger RNA
About the family: Bacterial tmRNA, also known as 10Sa RNA or SsrA, is named for its dual tRNA and mRNA-like properties.
Source: Rfam by way of RNAcentral